GCCCAAGAGAUCGGGAUAACACCUUGAAACAGAUGCUAAUACCGGAUAACAACAGAUGAUGCCUAUCAACUGUUUAAAAGAUGGUUCUGCUAUCACUCUUGGAUGGACCUGCGGUGCAUUAGCUAGUUGGUAGGGUAACGGCCUACCAAGGCGAUGAUGCAUAGCCGAGUUGAGAGACUGAUCGGCCACAUUGGGACUGAGACACGGCCCAAACUCCUACGGGAGGCAGCAGCU
Molecule: ribosomal RNA, 234 nt
Filed under: uncultured Lactobacillus sp.
Lineage: Bacteria; Bacillati; Bacillota; Bacilli; Lactobacillales; Lactobacillaceae
Description: partial 16S ribosomal RNA
Rfam family: Bacterial small subunit ribosomal RNA
Source: RNAcentral